This is an RNA transcript of Ictidomys tridecemlineatus (thirteen-lined ground squirrel), 1004 nucleotides long. It is a transcript of the gene named 10 kDa heat shock protein, mitochondrial-like, with no coding region annotated. Lineage: Eukaryota; Metazoa; Chordata; Mammalia; Rodentia; Sciuridae. The record is from RefSeq and is a predicted model, not a curated record.
AUUCCCAACACUUUUUUAAAAAAUUUUAUGUCAUAUGUCUUUUAUCACGGUUUAAAAUUAAAAAUGCAGAAUCUCAGGUGGCCCUCCACAUUUACCAUUUUAGUGUCUACAUUUUAAUAAGAUCUGCAAGUGAUUUGUUAAAGCUUUGAGAAGCCCAGUACAUUUGGUGCAGAGCUACUCUGCAGAUAUAAAUUCCUAUAAUUAGUCAACUAUCUCUAAUUAAAACAUACAGUUUGAGUAAAAGCUAUGGAAAAAAAUAUAAUUUCUUUUUCUCCCUCACUGUGGAAGGCAGGUCCUUUUCUUCUCUCCUUCAUUUACUGGAGAAAUGGAGAAAUCAAGUGGCAGCUGGCAGGCUCCAAGGACAGCAUGAUACCAUGGUAACUGCUUCCAUCAAUAACUUAAUUUCAUCUAUUUUCUUACAUCUUUCCUCUGUCCUAAAGCAGGAGAUUUUUUUUAAUUUGGGAAGAACAUAAGAUGACUUGCAGUUGCUAUGGCAACGGCACCUGCAUACUUCCUAAUGGGUUUUAAUAUCAUGAAGGAAACUAUUAAGGAAACCAUAGAAGUUUAGAACUCAAGGGGAACUGCAACGUCUUCAUCCCAGCCCCUUACAUGGCCAAGCAGACCCCCAGUGCCUGAAGAGAUUAAGUUCUCUGUCUUUGGAACAGUUGUCCUGUCAGCUUGAAUUCAAGUUCCACGAUGUUUAUCUAUCAGAUCUGUGAUCCUGGAAGCGGAGGCAAUUCAGUUCCAUAAGGUGAUUGCUUCUGCUUAGGAAGACAGUCUCAUCAUGAGAUGCUGUGCCUGAAAGGCUCUGCUAUUCCUGGAAGUGUAGGACCAUGACUGAAGACUUCCAGGUGCCACUCCAAAGGGUCUGGAAUAGGACAUUGUAAAAACUGGUAUGUCAGGCGGGGUUGUGGCUCAGUGGUACAGCGCUUGCCUAGCAUGCGUGAGGCACUGAGUUUGAUCCCUGGCACCAUGUUAAUAAGUAAAUAAAUAAAUAAGAUGAA